RNAcentral lists this ribosomal RNA (619 nucleotides) under Promicromonospora sp. N-YH-1744. Its description in RNAcentral is "bacterial SSU rRNA". It matches the Rfam family "Bacterial small subunit ribosomal RNA", at positions 125 to 759 of the family's 1533-position model. The record is from RNAcentral. Lineage: Bacteria; Bacillati; Actinomycetota; Actinomycetes; Micrococcales; Promicromonosporaceae.
CCUGCCCUCCACUUCGGGAUAAGCCUUGGAAACGAGGUCUAAUACCGGAUACGAGCACUUACCGCAUGGUGGGUGUUGGAAAGUUUUUCGGUGGGGGAUGGGCUCGCGGCCUAUCAGCUUGUUGGUGGGGUAAUGGCCUACCAAGGCGUCGACGGGUAGCCGGCCUGAGAGGGCGACCGGCCACACUGGGACUGAGACACGGCCCAGACUCCUACGGGAGGCAGCAGUGGGGAAUAUUGCACAAUGGGCGAAAGCCUGAUGCAGCGACGCCACGUGAGGGAUGACGGCCUUCGGGUUGUAAACCUCUUUCAGCAGGGAAGAAGCGCAAGUGACGGUACCUGCAGAAGAAGCGCCGGCUAACUACGUGCCAGCAGCCGCGGUAAUACGUAGGGCGCAAGCGUUGUCCGGAAUUAUUGGGCGUAAAGAGCUCGUAGGCGGUCUGUCGCGUCUGGUGUGAAAUCCCAUGGCUCAACCAUGGGCUUGCAUCGGGUACGGGCAGACUAGAGUGCUGUAGGGGAGACUGGAAUUCCUGGUGUAGCGGUGGAAUGCGCAGAUAUCAGGAGGAACACCGAUGGCGAAGGCAGGUCUCUGGGCAGUUACUGACGCUGAGGAGCGAAAG